This 92-nucleotide transfer RNA is filed under the name bacterium HR41. Its description in RNAcentral is "tRNA-Ser". The record is from RNAcentral.
CGGCGCGAAGACGUCGGAGACGGCCUUCACCGACUCGACUUCGGCGUAGGGCUCGUCUUUGCGCACCUGGGUUCCGACCUCCGGCGCGUCGA